CUCCAAUAAUAUGCAUCUUGGAUGGCUUCACUAUGUCCCACAGGUCACCAAGAUUCUGCUCAUUUCUCUCCAUCUUUUGUCUUUCUGUUUUUUUUGAUUGGAUAAUUAUUAUUUAUCUGUCUAUAAACUUCUGAUAAUAGCAUUCACUGAAUUUUUUCAUCUUAGAUAUUUUAGUUUUCAGCUAUAGAAUUUCUGGGCAUUUUUUUGUUUGUUUGUUUGUUUGUUUUGCUUUUUUGCUUUUUAGGGCCACACCAAUGGCAUAUGGAAGUUCCUGGGCUAGGGGUUGAAUCAAAGGUAUAGCUGCCAGCCUAUACCACUGCAAUGCCAGAUCCUUAGCUCAUUGAGCAAGGCCAGGGAUUGAACCCACAUCCUCAUGGAUUCUGGUUGGGUUUGCUAUCACCAAGCCACAACUGGAACUCCCUAUUUUUUUUUUUUUUUUUUUUUGGCCAUACCAUGGCAUAUGGAAUUUCCUGAACUAGGAAUCAAAUCCUAGCUACAACUGGACCCAAGCCACUGCAGAGACAAUGACAGAUCCUUAACCCACUGUGCUACAGCAGGAAUUCCUGCUCUAUUUUUUUAGUUCACACUUUUCUGCUGAAAUUCUCCAUCCAUUCACUCAUCACUCACUAAGACCUCCUUUGAGCUCCUUGAACAGCUUUAGAAGAACAGUUUUAAAGUUCAGCUAAAGCUAAGCCAUCCCAUGUUCCCUUUCUGUUGACUAGUUUUGCUCUUGAAUGUGGUUCACAAUUUUCUGUUUUUGCACAUGUUGAGCACUUUUUCAAAUUUUUGUAUUAAACAUUUGUAGAGGGCACAAUGCAGAGAUUCUGAGUAUUUUGUUCUAAAGAGGGUUGGGGGACCUUUUAUUUUAUUUGGGGGUGAGUUGGCUGUGUCCAUGUCACGUGGAAAUUCUCAAGCCAGGGAUUGAACUGGCGCCACAGCAGUGACCCAAGAUGCAGCAGUGACAACACCAGAUUCUUAACCCACGGAGCCACGAGGGAACUCCUAAAGAGUGUUGGUUUUGUCGUAACAGGCAAUUAGUGGUGAGCCACCUUGACUUUUUAAGACCUGGUUUUUGGUUCCAUUGUAGUGUAUCUACUAUGGUUUUUCCUUUAGCACCAGGGUGAACUCUUUAGUCUUGGGACAGAGAAUUUAUUCCUAAGUCGCGGCCUUCCUGGGGUUCAGUGGAAAGCUCAGGCUGUCUACCAAACCAACAUGUGUCAGGACAGUCCCAUGGUUUGUGGUUAGGGACAGGGGAGAGUCAGUGCCUCCUUAGUGGCGGAUAUUAUAGGAAGACACACAGAGGACAUCCGGUCUUAAAGGAUGAGCAGAGGGGCCCAGGGGGCAGGCUAGGAGACCUCCUGGUUCUGUCUAGAUGGAGCAGUGAGCACAGAGGCAGGAAGGCCUAGGAAACAUUUUCAUCAACCUGCAAGCCCUCCAUUGUGACCCAGAUGAAAAAUCAACAUGGGGAGGUGAUAGAAAAUCAUUUCAGGAGGGCAGGAGGCUGAAGAGUUGGCUCUUUCCAGGAGAGAACUGUGUUGGCCCUGAGCCAUGGGGGUGGGAUGGUACCUGGGGAGAGAGGACCUCAGGUGAGCUGGCAGGAUGGGUGCACAUGGUGGGGGGAGCUGGGAUGACUGCCGUUAUCAUAUUUCCAGGUUUCCAACCUCGGUGCCUAGAAGAAUACUGACAUCUCUCAGUAACUGGAGGGGAGGUCUUUUUGGUACUGGGGAGGGAUAAUGAAACCCAUUUCCACGCUUUGAGUUUGAAUGUCCAGUAUCGCCAGGCAGCCCCUAGGCUGUGAGGGGCCCUGGGCCCAGUGUGUGCAGCAUCCAAUGCUCCUGUCCUUCACCAGUCAUGUGGCCAGGCCAGCCUAGCUUCCCCUCUCCCGAGGCCAGGCCCUCCAGGCUUGUGUGAUGGAGGCACAUGCAGCCUCUUGCUUGGGCAGCUCCCUCCACCGUUUACUUAAGGCUGGUUCCCAGUGACCAGGAGGCCCACACUCACCUGUCCCCCACCAGAUUCCACUGCCUUACGUUGGUGAUGCCACUAGUUUGCAGGAAAUUGUGAGUAACAGAUACUCCUUUUCUGAUCAUGUUGAAUUUGCCACUCUGUGUUUCAUGGCACAAAUGUGGAGCAACACAGCCCCCCCACCAGCUCUGCUCUGGAACUUUCAGGCCACCGUCACUGCAUCCCUAGAGCAGGCUCCCCUCGGUGUGGACGGACCCCUAAACCCUGCUCCAGCCACCGAAACACUUGGAGCCAAUGGUUCUCACUCCUGCCAGAAAAGAGAGAGGUUUUGAAAGCAUUUCUUCCAGAACAGGAAUAAAGCUAAUAGUCUGUUCAGUCCUAGGAUUUUUCCCUUGCUCCUCGGAGGUGGUUCAAAAAAAAACAUUUCCAUCUCACUGUAGCUCCCUCCUGAAUAUUCAGCUCAUCAUGUUCCAAAUGCCGGGAAGAGGUGUGUAAAUCAGCUGUGCUCCUCUCAUCCCCGAAACCGAUACAUUUAGAAUCAGCUAACCAGUUAUAUCUACCCACUUUCCUUUCAGAGGUGGUAGGGAUGCGGUCCGCUUCCCAUGCCCAUGCCACCUCGGGGGGUCCUGGGAGCCUUUUGGGGGGCUUUCUGACUCUCUGAGGGUGCCUAGGUCAGGGUUACAGGGCAGAUCAGGUGAGCAGCCCAGCCCCACUGUGCUGUGUCAGCGCUUCGUGGGCACAGGUGCUGCCGGCCUGUCCCCUUCUCUCUACGAAGAGUGCAGACUUUUCAGGAUUGUCCUUACAUGUAGUCAGGAUCACCUUCCAUCCAGCUCCGAUGACUGAAGGACAAAUACGCAGCCAUGAUUCCACACAGUUGCUUCUUCUGUCUGUUAUAACCCAAAAUACAGCGGGCCAGGUUUCCAGCUGGUGGAAUAAUGCCUGUGUCUUGAUAGAAAGAGGCUCUGGUUUCAUGUGAAGGAAACUCGGGGGAGGACAGAGCACAGAUUCUGUACCUGCAAAGAGUUUGCGAUCUGGGCAGGUGCUCUGCACACAGGCUCUUGAAUCAGAAAUUAGGAAAACUGGGAGCUCCCUUUGUGACUCAGUAGUAACAAACCCAACUAGUAUCCAUGAGGACGCAGAUUUGAUCCCUGGCCUCUCUCAGUGGGUGAAGAAUCUGGCGUUGCCAUGAGCUGUGGUGUAGAUCGAAGACACAGAUUGGAUCCCACAUUGCUAUGGCUGUGGUGUAGACCAGCUACUGUAGCUCUGAUUCAUCCCCUAAACUGGGAAUCUCCAUAUGCCGCUUUGCAGCCCUAAAAAAAAAAAGAAUUUGGGAAAACUGACCAGGCUUCUGGACGCUAACACCAGAAGCAGUUCCUGAGACUGGUGUCAACUCCGAGUGGUUAGAAGGGGUCGGGGUGGGGACCCUUGCACCCUGGAACCAGCCUGGCCUCACAGCCUGGAAACCACAUGCUCUCAGAUCUGCAGCUGGCUCUGCUGCGCGGACUUCAACUUGAACAGAAAAUUCAAACUCUUUGGCACUUUGCUUUGAAAGGUUCUCUAGUAACUACCCUGCGAAUCAGGUGAAUCUAUAGGCACCAGGCCUCAUGGUCUUCGUUUUUAUGACUCUUCCUUUAUCAUCAUUAAAGAAUAUGGUCUUUCACUUGGGAACAUUUUUCUAGAGCCCUUGAACUUGGUGAGUGGAACCCUGGAGGCCAUCCUUGCCACCUGUCUUCUUGGGAUUUUUCCAGAGAAGACUCAGAGAAGGAAUCUAGGGGUGUAUAGUUCACCCCUAAGAGAGUCCCUGGAGAGGAUGGGAACCAGGGCAGGGCAGGGAAGGUGGGUGGCUGAGGGCAGAGCUGGGGGCUGAACACCUGUCCCCCAAGUUCAUGUGUGGAAGCCCUGCCCAUGGAGUGAUGCUGUGAGGAAGUGUGGGAGGUGGUUGGCCCCUGGGGGCGGAGCCCCAAGCUCAGGAUUUGUGCCCUAGAAGAAGCAAUGACAGAUGGCCUCUCUUCUGCAUGGAAGCCAGAAGGCGUCCACAUGGGAGCCAGGCUCUCCCAGGACAAGCCCAACGGGCCAGCAUCUUGAGCUUGGUCGUCCAGCCUCCAGAACUGUAAGAAACAAGUGUGUCAGGUCAGCCCCAGUCUUUUUUGUUAUAGGAGCUGGAGCUGAGAUGGUACGUUGUUAAGAAGUUACCAGCGAGGGCGAUUGGUGCUCCAUCCAUCAGAGGCCUCAACUGGGUGCCAGGGAGCUGGGCCAUUUGUCCACCAGUUCGGCCCGUGGGGGUAGGUGCUGGGUGCUGAGUCCCUGGCCCUUCCGGUUGCUGGGGCUCAGCUCCGAGAAGGUCCUCAGUCUGAGGGACUCCUCAGGGGUUGUAAGCUGGGCAGGGCCAGGAGGCAAGGCCAUCAGGUGGGGCCUGGUGACACUGGGAGAGCAUGGGAACUGAGGGCAGGUGAUGCUGUGCAUGUAGCAGACGGACUCAGGUGUUGACCUCUGAGUGGGGAGAGCCUGGCUGGUUCUGAGCUCAGCAGGGAUGCCCCCUGACGCAUGAGGUAAGGGCAGCAUUUGCGUAGAACCUGUCCCUUGUGAUGAGGGUGCAAGAGAGGAGACCAUAGAUAGCUCUGGAAACCAUCCCCUCAAAUGAGGGCAGGUUUGCAGCAGAGCGUAGCUGGAAAGGCCAUUAGUGGACCUAUUGUGGUCAUGUUUUGAAUAAUCAGGAAAUGCAUCACGGGUCACACAACACGCUCCCCAGCAGAACAAGCUUUGUUCUCACUGGUGCGGAGGGGAAGGGGGGCUGGAGUUUGUCACAAGUGGCCCUCAGGAGACGUGGUUCCCCCUCCUGCAGCGCUGUAGAAAGGGGUACAGGCCCACCACCCCACCAGAAACUCCUUGGGGAUGGGUUUUAGAAUUUAGAAUUCUGAUUUCAGUACGGAACAGGAUGCCUUUAGCAUGUAUUAGGCAAACCCCUAGCAGAAUCAAAGAGACAGAAUUUAUAAUCACCAGCAUGAACACAAAGAGGAAAGAGCCUCACACUGAGUCAGGCCAGAUCUUGCCUAAGAACUCAGUUUUCAAACUCUCUAGAUUCCAAAAUCACAGAUGACUCUCAGAUCCCCAGGCUACGCUUCCAAACAAAACAAAACAAAAAUCAGAACAGAAACAGCCAAAUUAACAUUUAUAAUGAUUCACUAAACAUAUUAUGACAUCAAUUUCAUUUAUUAUGCAGUUCAAUAUGCAUGAAAUUUUUUAAUCCCCUUGAACACAAUUUGUAGAUUUUUCACUUUGCAAAAAUUCCCCCAGCAGAUUCCAUGGUUGUGAAUUACAAAAUUUCAAAAGUAAAAUGAGGAGUCCCUGGGUGGCGCAGCAGGUUAAGGAUCCAGCAUUGUCACUGUUGUGGCUCUGGUUACUGCUGUGGUGUGAGUUUGAUUCCUGGCCCAGAAACUUCUGCAUGAUGUGGGCAGGG
RNAcentral lists this long non-coding RNA (5419 nucleotides) under Sus scrofa (pig). RNAcentral describes it as "lncRNA (ENSSSCG00000057159.1)". Lineage: Eukaryota; Metazoa; Chordata; Mammalia; Artiodactyla; Suidae. The record is from RNAcentral.